UACGGAGGGUGCAAGCGUUAUCCGGAUUCACUGGGUUUAAAGGGUGCGUAGGAGGGCAGGUAAGUCAGUGGUGAAAUCCCCAAGCUUAACUUGGGAACUGCCAUUGAUUCUAUCUGUCUUGAAUACCGUGGAGACGAGCGGAAUAUGUCAUGUAGCGGUGAAAUGCUUAGAUAUGACAUAGAACACCAAUUGCGAAGGCAGCUCGUUACACGAAUAUUGACUCUGAGGCACGAAAGCGUGGGGAUCAAACAGG
This 253-nucleotide ribosomal RNA is filed under the name uncultured bacterium. RNAcentral's name for it is "partial 16S ribosomal RNA". It matches the Rfam family "Bacterial small subunit ribosomal RNA", at positions 524 to 776 of the family's 1533-position model. The record is from RNAcentral.